Molecule: ribosomal RNA, 67 nt
Filed under: Amedibacterium intestinale
Lineage: Bacteria; Bacillati; Bacillota; Erysipelotrichia; Erysipelotrichales; Erysipelotrichaceae
Source: RNAcentral
UGGUGAUGAUGGCGAAGUGGACACACCUGUUCUCAUCCCGAACACAGAAGUUAAGCACUUCAGCGGC